This 154-nucleotide small nucleolar RNA is filed under the name Petromyzon marinus (sea lamprey). The record is from RNAcentral. Lineage: Eukaryota; Metazoa; Chordata; Hyperoartia; Petromyzontiformes; Petromyzontidae.
UUUUGGUGAUGAUUUUGAUGACGAGGCUGAAGGGGCAGCGGCUUCCCCGUGCUGCCCGGCCCCCUGCUCGCGUUUUGCGAGCGUGGUCAUGGUACGCGGGGUCCCCCUGCCCCGUGCUCUGAUGCCAAAGUAACGAGGCAUUUGUCUGAGAAAC